This 231-nucleotide ribosomal RNA is filed under the name uncultured bacterium. RNAcentral's name for it is "partial 16S ribosomal RNA". It matches the Rfam family "Bacterial small subunit ribosomal RNA", at positions 57 to 305 of the family's 1533-position model. The record is from RNAcentral.
GCAAGUCGAGCGAGAAAGCACCUUCGGGUGUGAGUAGAGCGGCAAACGGGUGAGUAACACGUGGGAACGUACCUUUCAGUCUGGAAUAGCCCUGGGAAACUGGGAUUAAUGCCGGAUAUUCUCUACGGAGGAAAGAUUUAUCGCUGAAAGAUCGGCCCGCGUUAGAUUAGCUUGUUGGUGAGGUAAUGGCUCACCAAGGCUACGAUCUAUAGCUGGUCUGAGAGGAUGAUC